UCCUCUAGGUGACAGGAUAAAGUGUGAAC
Molecule: non-coding RNA, 29 nt
Filed under: Rattus norvegicus (Norway rat)
Lineage: Eukaryota; Metazoa; Chordata; Mammalia; Rodentia; Muridae
Source: RNAcentral